Molecule: ribosomal RNA, 253 nt
Filed under: uncultured bacterium
Lineage: Bacteria
Description: partial 16S ribosomal RNA
Rfam family: Bacterial small subunit ribosomal RNA
Source: RNAcentral
UACGUAGGGGGCAAGCGUUGUCCGGAAUCACUAGGCGUAAAGCGCAGGUAGGCGGUUCAGUAAGUCUUUUGUGAAAGCUCCCGGCUCAACUGGGAGAGGCCAAGGGAAACUACUGGACUAGAGUGUGGUAGGGGAUACUGGAAUUCCUGGUGUAGCGGUGAAAUGCGUAGAUAUCAGGAGGAAUACCUAUGGCGAAAGCAGGUAUCUGGGCCAUCACUGACGCUGAGCUGCGAAAGCUAGGGGAGCAAACAGG